This is a long non-coding RNA of Ictalurus punctatus (channel catfish), 381 nucleotides long. The record is from Ensembl. Lineage: Eukaryota; Metazoa; Chordata; Actinopteri; Siluriformes; Ictaluridae.
ACACACACACACACACACACACAUAAUUAGGUCUAUUUCAGGUAUAGUUUGUAACCCUAUAUAAGGGGUACCUAUAUAAUGCACCGUAUAAAACAUCUCAUUCUGGGUUAUUUCUCUAUAACAUACAUCGUAAUAAUGUUAAUGCUUUUAUGUGAGGUCAGUAAUAUUUCACUGUUCUGUUGUGUAGGUGUUGUUCAUUCUUCUGUUGUGUAGAUGUUCACCCUCCUGUUGUGUAGAAGCUGUUCACUGUUCUGUAGAUGGUGUUCAGUUGUGUAGAUGUUGUUCACUCUCCUGUUGUGUAGAUCUUGUUCACUCUCCUGUUGUGUAGAUGUUGUUCACUCUCCUGUUGUGUAGAUGUUGUUCACUCUCCUGUUGUGUAGA